CCUACGGGUGGCAGCAGUGGGGAAUAUUGCACAAUGGGCGCAAGCCUGAUGCAGCCAUGCCGCGUGUGUGAAGAAGGCCUUCGGGUUGUAAAGUACUUUCAGCGGGGAGGAAGGCGAUAAGGUUAAUAACCUUGUCGAUUGACGUUACCCGCAGAAGAAGCACCGGCUAGCUCCGUGCCAGCGGCCGCGGUAAUACGGAGGGUGCAAGCGUUAAUCGGAAUUACUGGGCGUAAAGCGCACGCACGCGGUCUGUCAAGUCGGAUGUGAAAUCCCCGGGCUCAACCUGGGAACUGCAUUCGAAACUGGCAGGCUAGAGUCUUGUAGAGGGGGGUAGAAUUCAGGUGUAGCGGUGAAAUGCGUAGAGAUGUGGAGGAAUACCGGUGGCGAAGGCGGCCCCCUGGACAAAGACUGACGCUCAGCUGCGAAAGCGUGGGGAGCAAACAGGAUUAGAUACCCGUGUAGUC
This 464-nucleotide ribosomal RNA is filed under the name uncultured bacterium. RNAcentral describes it as "bacterial SSU rRNA". It matches the Rfam family "Bacterial small subunit ribosomal RNA", at positions 338 to 795 of the family's 1533-position model. The record is from RNAcentral.